This 510-nucleotide ribosomal RNA is filed under the name uncultured bacterium. RNAcentral's name for it is "partial 16S ribosomal RNA". It matches the Rfam family "Bacterial small subunit ribosomal RNA", at positions 28 to 507 of the family's 1533-position model. The record is from RNAcentral.
GACGAGCGCUGGCGGCGUGCUUAACACAUGCAAGUCGAACGAAGAGCGAUGGAAGCUUGCUUCUAUCAAUCUUAGUGGCGAACGGGUGAGUAACGCGUAAUCAACCUGCCCUUCAGAGGGGGACAACAGUUGGAAUCGACUGCUAAUACCGCAUACGAUCUAAUCUCGGCAUCGAGGAUAGAUGAAAGGUGGCCUCUACAUGUAAGCUAUCACUGAAGGAGGGGAUUGCGUCUGAUUAGCUAGUUGGAGGGGUAACGGCCCACCAAGGCGAUGAUCAGUAGCCGGUCUGAGAGGAUGAACGGCCACAUUGGGACUGAGACACGGCCCAGACUCCUACGGGUGGCAGCAGUGGGGAAUCUUCCGCAAUGGACGAAAGUCUGACGGAGCAACGCCGCGUGAGUGAUGACGGCCUUCGGGUUGUAAAGCUCUGUUAAUCGGGACGAAAGGCCUUCUUGCGAAUAGUGAGAAGGAUUGACGGUACCGGAAUAGAAAGCCACGGCUAACUACGUG